CAGCAGCCGCGCGGGAAUACGUAGGGUGCAAGCGUUAAUCGGAAUUACUGGGCGUAAAGCGUGCGCAGGCGGUUAUAUAAGACAGAUGUGAAAUCCCCGGGCUCAACCUGGGAACUGCAUUUGUGACUGUAUAGCUAGAGUACGGCAGAGGGGGAUGGAAUUCCGCGUGUAGCAGUGAAAUGCGUAGAUAUGCGGAGGAACACCGAUGGCGAAGGCAAUCCCCUGGGCCUGUACUGACGCUCAUGCACGAAAGCGUGGGGAGCAAACAGGAUUAGAUACCCCUGUAGUCCCUGUCUCUUAU
This 301-nucleotide ribosomal RNA is filed under the name uncultured bacterium. RNAcentral describes it as "partial 16S ribosomal RNA". It matches the Rfam family "Bacterial small subunit ribosomal RNA", at positions 509 to 807 of the family's 1533-position model. The record is from RNAcentral.